Molecule: ribosomal RNA, 571 nt
Filed under: uncultured bacterium
Lineage: Bacteria
Description: bacterial SSU rRNA
Rfam family: Bacterial small subunit ribosomal RNA
Source: RNAcentral
CCUACGGGAGGCAGCAGUGAGGAAUAUUGGACAAUGGGCGCAAGCCUGAUCCAGCCAUGCCGCGUGCAGGAAGACGGUCCUAUGGAUUGUAAACUGCUUUUAUACAGGAAGAAACACCUCUACGUGUAGAGACUUGACGGUACUGUAUGAAUAAGCAUCGGCUAACUCCGUGCCAGCAGCCGCGGUAAUACGGAGGAUGCAAGCGUUAUCCGGAAUCAUUGGGUUUAAAGGGUCCGUAGGCGGUUUAAUAAGUCAGUGGUGAAAGCCCAUCGCUCAACGAUGGAACGGCCAUUGAUACUGUUAAACUUGAAUUAUUAGGAAGUAACUAGAAUAUGUAGUGUAGCGGUGAAAUGCUUAGAGAUUACAUGGAAUACCAAUUGCGAAGGCAGGUUACUACUAAUAUAUUGACGCUGAUGGACGAAAGCGUGGGGAGCGAACAGGAUUAGAUACCCUGGUAGUCCACGCCGUAAACGAUGGAUACUAGCUGUUCGGAGCAAUCUGAGUGGCUAAGCGAAAGUGAUAAGUAUCCCACCUGGGGAGUACGUUCGCAAGAAUGAAACUUAAAGAGUAU